UACGUAGGGUGUAAGCGUUGUCCGGAAUUAUUGGGCGUAAAGAGCUCGUAGGCGGUUUGUCGCGUCGAAUGUGAAAACCCGGGGCUCAACCCCGGGCCUGCAUUCGAUACGGGCAGACUAGAGUUCGGUAGGGGAGUCUGGAAUUCCUGGUGUAGCGGUGAAAUGCGCAGAUAUCAGGAGGAACACCGGUGGCGAAGGCGGGUCUCUGGGCCGAUACUGACGCUGAGGAGCGAAAGCGUGGGGAGCGAACAGG
RNAcentral lists this ribosomal RNA (253 nucleotides) under uncultured bacterium. Its description in RNAcentral is "partial 16S ribosomal RNA". It matches the Rfam family "Bacterial small subunit ribosomal RNA", at positions 524 to 776 of the family's 1533-position model. The record is from RNAcentral.